This 72-nucleotide transfer RNA is filed under the name Camelus bactrianus (Bactrian camel). It matches the Rfam family "tRNA". From Rfam's summary of the family: Transfer RNA (tRNA) molecules are approximately 80 nucleotides in length. Their secondary structure includes four short double-helical elements and three loops (D, anti-codon, and T loops). RNAcentral also lists the same sequence under 1 other name. Lineage: Eukaryota; Metazoa; Chordata; Mammalia; Artiodactyla; Camelidae. The record is from Rfam by way of RNAcentral.
GAGGGUAUAGUUCAGUGGUAGAGUGUGUGCUUAGCAUCCAUGAGGUGCUGGGUUCAGUCCCCAGUGCCUCCA